RNAcentral lists this transfer RNA (60 nucleotides) under Blattisocius tarsalis. Its description in RNAcentral is "tRNA-Tyr". Lineage: Eukaryota; Metazoa; Arthropoda; Arachnida; Mesostigmata; Blattisociidae. The record is from RNAcentral.
AAAAAGAUGUCCGAUUAAGGUAAUAAAUUGUAAAUUUAUUUAUGGUUAAGCCUCUUUUUA